RNAcentral lists this ribosomal RNA (253 nucleotides) under uncultured bacterium. RNAcentral describes it as "partial 16S ribosomal RNA". It matches the Rfam family "Bacterial small subunit ribosomal RNA", at positions 524 to 776 of the family's 1533-position model. The record is from RNAcentral.
UACGGAGGGUGCUAGCGUUGUUCGGAAUUACUGGGCGUAAAGCGUGCGUAGGUGGUUUGUUAAGUCUGAUGUGAAAGCCCUGGGCUCAACCUGGGAAUUGCAUUGGAUACUGGCAGGCUAGAGUGCGGUAGAGGAUGGCGGAAUUCCCGGUGUAGCAGUGAAAUGCGUAGAGAUGCGGAGGAACACCGAUGGCGAAGGCAGCCCCCUGGGCCAACACUGACGCUCAGGCACGAAAGCGUGGGGAGCAAACAGG